GUUGUCGUCGACGGAUCACGUAAAGUCCAGCGGUCCGUCCAGAGCUAACUUCUUUUUUUUUCCCAGUGGCGGAGAAAACGCGCGUACACACACCAGAAGAGCUCUCUCUCUCCCUUUUUAUCGCUUUUGCUUUCGUCAACGGUGGCCCCCGCACACACACACACACAAACUUCUCUUUCAGAUGCGGCGGCGGCGGCCGUAGAAGAAGAAAUCGACGGCCACAAGAAAACUGGGACGGACGGCCGGUCGACGGUUCAGGCAAGGGGAAGGCGAGCGGCCGCGGCGGCGUUACGACGUCAAGAAAAUUCCACGCACACAAGCGAAGCGCGCACGGCCCGGCGCUCCUCGCACACGCUCCGGCACAGGCGGCAGCUGCUCCCGCGGGCUUGGAAUGCGAAGUAUGGCACAAAGAAUCCCCAAAACGCGGACGGCGGCGGGCGCCCCUAGUGCGCAGCGGCGCACGCGCAUGGGUGGGGCGUAACGCGUCACUUCCGCCGCUCCGCGUGACGUCACGGCAUCAGAUGCCGGUAGUUCUUGCAACGUUCCAGGCGUACAUUCGCGGCGUCGCUCGCAUUUCUGCUCCAGGAGGCCAAGAGCACCCGUCGCGACGGGAGAGGAGGCGCAGCGGGUUGCUCUGCCCAAUCAGGAAAAGAGAGAGAGACAGUAAAACAUAAACAAGAAAUGGCGGGAAAGAGAGCGACGCCGGCGCUGUGACCAGGGUGUGCAGACAGAAGCGGAGGACGGUGGAAAAACCGGCUGCGAAGCAAGCGACGGCCGCCGGCGCACGCAGCGCCGCGUGGGGUCGGUGAGCGCAGUUAGCGUUUUCAACUGGCGGGCUGGCUUUGCGGAGAAGCGGUGUGGAGGUCCGUUGAAAGUGCUCGGUUUUGGACUGCACUAUGUUCCGUUAGCUUUGCUCUUAAACGUUCAAGGUCACCGCAGAACACCAACAGGCGUGUAUUGUGGAAGGGCUAGCGCUUGAUUAUUCCAGGUGCCAGAUGACUUGGGAGACCUACACGCGCAAAUCUUCGGGCUGACCAGCAGAACGACUAGUCCACAAGCCGAUGACCACAGGUCCAGUCCAAAUUACGUCGACAAGUCAAAUGAAUCUGAUGAACUGCAACUAUUAUUGUUGUUACUAUUUUUUCAUCAUGCCAUCUUCGUAAUUUGACCUCUUUAGACAAGACUAGGCACUGCGACUUCUCUACCCUCGGUGUUUGCAAAUAUAUUCCAGUUGCUCUGGCGGCAAAUGUAAAGUGUCACACCAGAAGAAGAUAAAAUCAUUUGCUUCAGUGCGGCGAGCACAGAAGUCGCAGCUACGACAUAUUCGCCAUGAGCAGCUGGGAAAAUUUCGUGAGGUGGCUGCUUUUUACGAACGAUUUUCAAGCGAAUAAAGUGUAUCCGCACACUA
Molecule: non-coding RNA, 1408 nt
Organism: Dermacentor andersoni
Lineage: Eukaryota; Metazoa; Arthropoda; Arachnida; Ixodida; Ixodidae
Source: RefSeq, a predicted model, not a curated record